This 44-nucleotide ribosomal RNA is filed under the name Plagiomnium medium. RNAcentral's name for it is "partial 28S ribosomal RNA". The record is from RNAcentral. Lineage: Eukaryota; Viridiplantae; Streptophyta; Bryopsida; Bryales; Mniaceae.
AGACCUCUAAUCGGAAAAGACCACCCGCUGAGUUUAAGCAUAUC